CCUACGGGAGGCAGCAGUAGGGAAUCUUUCACAAUGGGCGAAAGCCUGAAGGAGCCAAGCAGCGUGCAGGAUGAAGGCCCUAGGGUUGUUAACUGCUUUUAUAAGCGAGAAAUAUGAUGGUAACUUAUGAAUAAGGAACGGAUCACUACGUGACAGCAGCCGCGGUCAUACGCAGGAUCCGAGCAUAAUCCGGAGUGACUGGGGGUAAAGAGUUGUGUAGGUGGCUUAAUUAGUAGCUAGUGAAAUCUGGAGGGUCCACCAUUCAGACUAUUAGCUAAAAUGGUAAGCUCGAGAGCGUUAGGGGUAAGUGGAAUUUGUAGUGUAGGAGUGAAAUCCGGAGAUAUUAGAAGGAACACCAAUAGCGAAGGCAGGUUGCUGGGACGGUUCUGACACUAAGGCACGAAGGCGUAGGGAGCGAACGGGAUUAGAUACCCCUGUAGUC
RNAcentral lists this ribosomal RNA (442 nucleotides) under uncultured bacterium. Its description in RNAcentral is "partial 16S ribosomal RNA". It matches the Rfam family "Bacterial small subunit ribosomal RNA", at positions 338 to 795 of the family's 1533-position model. The record is from RNAcentral.